Bactrocera latifrons is the source of this 611-nucleotide long non-coding RNA. RefSeq lists it as uncharacterized. The record is from RefSeq and is a predicted model, not a curated record. The transcript has 2 exons. NCBI's taxonomy places the organism in Eukaryota, Metazoa, Arthropoda, Insecta, Diptera, Tephritidae.
AAUAAAUCCAAAAAAAUUUGUCCGCUACAAUUCUUUUGAAAAAGCAGCCCCAAACCAAUUGAAGAUGUGCGAACCUUGCGGCUUUUCCGUUGCGCCGUGUGGUCCUUACGGACCCAUAGGACCAUAUGGACCGAUUACCGCUUGCGGAGCGCAUGGUAUUUAUGGACCACCUUGCAUACCGGAUUCGUCACCGAACCCUCCCUGCUGUCCCUCACCUUGUCCAGUAGGCUGCUGUCCACCACCAUGCGAUCCCUGCUCCAACUGUUGUCCAAAUCCAUGUUGCCUCUGAAAUUGGACUGAAAAUUGGUGUCAGCUUAAUUUCCACUCUAAAGGAGUUUUCAUGCAAUGUCUUGAGUUGAAUUGGGGCGAAAAAAAUUUGUUGAUACAUCCAUAGACGGUUCGUGUUGAGCUAACGGUUGAUUUAAAGUAUCAGUUGUACAUUCGGUCGUGAGGGAUUAACUUUGUAUAUACUGAAUACAUAAGUAAUCGACACCGCUUUUCGUGUUAUAUAUAAAGCAUGUAAAUAUGAACCGUGUAUUAUUAGAAAUUGUAAUCCAAUGCUUCGUUUUUGGUAAUAAAAUUCUUGCAAUAGUCGAUUGUAAAGCCUAAAA